AAAAAAUCUAAGCAAAAUAAUAAUAGUAUAAAUAAAUUUUAUAUGGUUUAAAAAAUUUAUUAAAAAUUUAUUUUACAUAUAAAUUUUAGUAUAAUUAAAUAUAUUUAUUUUAAAAAUAUUUAUUUUAUUGUAGUAAUUAAUAUUAAAAAUUUAAGAAAUUAAGAUUUAGUAAUAUAAAAAUUAUUAACAAAUUUUGUGCCAGCAGUUGCGGUUAUACAAAAGUUAAAUUAAAUUUUUUUAGUGUUUAAUAAUUAGUAUUUAAUUUAUAAUUAAAAAUAAAAAUUAUUAAGUGAAAUUUUAAUUUAUUAUUAUUUUAUUUAAAAUAAUUUAUGAUUUAAUAAAUUUUAUUAAUAAACUAGGAUUAGAUACCCUAUUAUUAAAAAUUUAAAUUUAAAAUACUAAAAUAGUAUAUAAUUAUUUAUUGAAACUUAAAUAUUUUGGCGGUAUUUUAGUUUAUUUAGAGGAAUCUGUUUAUUAAUUGAUAAUCCACGAAUAAAUUUACUUAAUUUAUUAUUUUGUAUAUCGUUGUUAAAUAAAUAUUUUUAAAAAAUUUUAAUAUUUUAAAAUUAUUAUUAAAAUUAAAUCAAAUCAAGAUGCAGAUUAUAAUUAAGAAUAUAAUGGAUUACAAUAAAUUUAUUUAAAUGGAUUUUAAUUUGUAAGAAUUUAAAUGAAAGUGGAUUUAAAUGUAAUUUUAUUUAGUUUAAUUAAAUGAUUAUAAAUUAAAGUAUGUACAUAUUGCCCGUCGCUUUCAUAAAUAAAUUGAAAUAAGUCGUAACAAAGUAGAGGUACUGGAAAGUGUUUCUAGAAAGAU
This 811-nucleotide non-coding RNA is filed under the name Lassaba albidaria. Lineage: Eukaryota; Metazoa; Arthropoda; Insecta; Lepidoptera; Geometridae. The record is from RNAcentral.